AUUGAACGCUGGCGGAGUGCUUUACACAUGCAAGUCGAGCGGCAGCGCGGGGCAACCUGGCGGCGGGCGGCGAACGGGUGAGUAAUACCUCGGAACGUACACAGUUGUGGGGGAUAGCCCGGCGAAAGCCGGAUUAAUACCGCAUACGACCUGAGGGGGAAAGGGGGGGAUCGCAACACCUCUCGCAGUUGGAGCGGCCGAGGGCGGAUUAGCUAGUUGGUAGGGUAAAGGCCUACCAAGGCGACGAUCCGUAGCGGGUCUGAGAGAACGACCCGCCACACUGGAACUGAGACACGGUCCAGACUCCUACGGGAGGCAGCAGUGGGGAAUUUUGGACAAUGGGGGCAACCCUGAUCCAGCCAUUCCGCGUGAGUGAAGAAGGCCUUCGGGUUGUAAAGCUCUUUCGGCAGGAACGAAACGGUUCUUUCUAAUAGAGAGGGCUAAUGACGGUACCUGAAGAAGAAGCACCGGCUAACUACGUGCCAGCAGCCGCCGUAA
Molecule: ribosomal RNA, 498 nt
Filed under: uncultured bacterium
Lineage: Bacteria
Description: partial 16S ribosomal RNA
Rfam family: Bacterial small subunit ribosomal RNA
Source: RNAcentral